CCAGCAGCUGCGGUAAUUCCGGCUCCAAUAGCGUAUAUUCCAGUUGUUGCAGUUAAAACGCUCGUAGUCUGAGAUGGUGUGGGGAGGGGGUGGAUGUUGUGAAAUAUUCCCCUUUUCGCACUCGUUCUGACAGCAAUGUCGGUGUUACUUUGAGGAAAUUAGGGUGUUCAAGGCAGGCGUGUGCUUGGAUAUCGCAGCAUGGAAUAACGGAGUAGGAUUCGCUUCUUAUUUUGUUGGUUUGGGGGAGUGAGUAAUGAUUAAUAGGGGCAGUUGGGGGCAUUGGUAUUUGGUAGUCAGAGGUGAAAUUCUUGGAUUUACCAAAGACUAACUGGUGCGAAAGCGUUUGCCAAGGAUGUUUUCAUCGAUCAAGAACGAAAGU
RNAcentral lists this ribosomal RNA (379 nucleotides) under uncultured eukaryote. RNAcentral describes it as "SSU rRNA". It matches the Rfam family "Eukaryotic small subunit ribosomal RNA", at positions 567 to 990 of the family's 1831-position model. The record is from RNAcentral.